GGUCCGAUGGUGUAGUCGGUUAUCACGUGAGCUUAACACGCUCAAGGUCCUCAGUUCGAUCCUGGGUCGGAUCA
Molecule: non-coding RNA, 74 nt
Organism: Gaeumannomyces tritici R3-111a-1
Lineage: Eukaryota; Fungi; Ascomycota; Sordariomycetes; Magnaporthales; Magnaporthaceae
Source: the annotation of a RefSeq genome assembly